AGUGAACGCUGGCGGUAGGCCUAACACAUGCAAGUCGAACGGCAGCACAGUAAGAGCUUGCUCUUACAGGUGGCGAGUGGCGGACGGGUGAGGAAUACAUCGGAAUCUACUUUUUCGUGGGGGAUAACGUAGGGAAACUUACGCUAAUACCGCAUGCGACCUACGGGUGAAAGCAGGGGAUCUUCGGACCUUGCGCGAUUGAAUGAGCCGAUGUCGGAUUAGCUAGUUGGCGGGGUAAAGGCCCACCAAGGCGACGAUCCGUAGCUGGUCUGAGAGGAUGAUCAGCCACACUGGAACUGAGACACGGUCCAGACUCCUACGGGAGGCAGCAGUGGGGAAUAUUGGACAAAGGGCGCAAACCUGAUCCAGCCAUACCGCGUGGGUGAAGAAGGCCUUCGGGUUGUAAAGCCCUUUUGUUGGGAAAGAAAAGCAGCAGGUUAAUACCCCGCUGUUCUGACGGUACCCAAAGAAUAAGCACCGGCUAACUUCGUG
This 492-nucleotide ribosomal RNA is filed under the name uncultured bacterium. Its description in RNAcentral is "partial 16S ribosomal RNA". It matches the Rfam family "Bacterial small subunit ribosomal RNA", at positions 29 to 507 of the family's 1533-position model. The record is from RNAcentral.